AUUGAACGCUGGCGGAAUGCUUUACACAUGCAAGUCGAGCGGCAGCGCGGGGCAACCUGGCGGCGAGCGGCGAACGGGUGAGUAUUGCAUCGGAACGUGUCCAUGUCGUGGGGGAUAGCCCGGCGAAAGCCGGAUUAAUACCGCAUACGCCCGAGAGGGGAAAGUGGGGGACCGCAAGGCCUCACGCGAUUGGGUCGGCCGAUGUCCGAUUAGCUAGUUGGCGGGGUAAAGGCCCACCAAGGCGAUGAUCGGUAGCUGGUCUGAGAGGAUGAUCAGCCACACUGGGACGGGGACACGGCCCAGAAUCCUACGGGAGGCAGAAGUUGGGAAUUUUGGACAAUGGGGGCAACCCUGAUCCAGCCAUUCCGCGUGAGUGAAGAAGGCCUUCGGGUUGUAAAGCUCUUUUGUCCGGAACGAAACGGAUGACGUGAAUAUCGUCGUCUACUGACGGUACCGGAAGAAUAAGCACCGGCUAACUACGUGCCAGCCGCCGCGGUAA
This 499-nucleotide ribosomal RNA is filed under the name uncultured bacterium. Its description in RNAcentral is "partial 16S ribosomal RNA". It matches the Rfam family "Bacterial small subunit ribosomal RNA", at positions 29 to 523 of the family's 1533-position model. The record is from RNAcentral.